This is a long non-coding RNA of Aricia agestis (brown argus), 620 nucleotides long. RefSeq lists it as uncharacterized. Lineage: Eukaryota; Metazoa; Arthropoda; Insecta; Lepidoptera; Lycaenidae. The transcript is spliced from 2 exons. The record is from RefSeq and is a predicted model, not a curated record.
CUUUGUCCAUUUUGACGGUGUACAACCCAAUCGAAGCAACUUACUGUUUAUAUAGCGGUUUGAAGCCUGAUAAUAUUUAAUUAAUAUUAUAUUAUAUUAGCCAUUGGUCACGACCAUGUGAUGACCACUCAUAAAACUUGCUAUCAUCGCACGAACACACUUUCAUGUACGAACCAGCAGCGGUCAGACACACACAGAGUUACCAACAAGGAUAGUAACAUCUCAUAUUAAUUUUGUCGUUUAAUAUGACUCUUCUCGCGAACUGGACAAUAGCAAGGCGGCGAAGGGAAAACUUGCGAUUGUGGAUCCUUUUCAUCCUUGUCAUCCUGUCAAAUGCAGCUGAAAGUGCGGUUGCAGCCGCUUCUGCUGCUGCGGCAAGCGGCAACGGCGCUGCGGCAGCCGCCAGCGCAGGUGCGCCAAUCGCCAACGUUGGUGCGGUGAGGUCCUCUGUGAUAAGACCCGCUUACGGAGGCCCCAGAAUCACAAAAAUUUUCGAAAUCGUCCCAACCGUACUCCAUGAGUUCUCCGGCCUGGGUAUACUCUCUCACAUACUAAACCACGGCAUCACCAUUAAUCUUCUUAAUAACGAAAAUGGUAAAUAAAUUAUUUUUUUGUAUAUA